This 444-nucleotide ribosomal RNA is filed under the name uncultured Chloroflexota bacterium. RNAcentral's name for it is "uncultured Chloroflexi bacterium partial 16S ribosomal RNA". It matches the Rfam family "Bacterial small subunit ribosomal RNA", at positions 59 to 523 of the family's 1533-position model. Lineage: Bacteria; Bacillati; Chloroflexota. The record is from RNAcentral.
AAGUCGAACGGAGCCUUCGCAAGGAGGCUGAGUGGCGCACGGGUGAGGAACACGUAGCUGACCUGCCUUCGAGCGGGGGAUAACGUCCCGAAAGGGAUGCUAAGACCGCGUAAGCUCACGGGAACUAGAGACCCGCGAGAAAAAGCUACGGCUACUCGAAGAGGGGGCUGCGGCCCAUCAGGUAGUUGGGGGGGUAACGGCCCACCAAGCCGACGACGGGUCGGGGAUCUGAGAGGAUGAUCCCCCACACUGGGACUGAGACACGGCCCAGACUCCUACGGGAGGCAGCAGUGAGGGAUAUUGCACAAUGGGGGAAACCCUGAUGCAGCGACGCCGCGUGUUUUUUGAAGGUCUUCGGAUCGUAAAGCCCUUUUCUGCGUGACGAGACAAGGACGGUAGCGCAGGAAGAAGUCUCGGCUAACUACGUGCCAGCAGCCGCGGUAC